This 567-nucleotide ribosomal RNA is filed under the name Zygoascus meyerae. RNAcentral describes it as "partial large subunit ribosomal RNA". It matches the Rfam family "Eukaryotic large subunit ribosomal RNA", at positions 80 to 667 of the family's 3401-position model. The record is from RNAcentral. Lineage: Eukaryota; Fungi; Ascomycota; Dipodascomycetes; Dipodascales; Trichomonascaceae.
UUAGUAGCGGCGAGUGAAGCGGCAAAAGCUCAAAUUUGAAAUCUGGUACUUUCAGUAUCCGAGUUGUAAUUUGUAGAAGCAACUUUGGUGAUGGUCUUUGCAUAAGUUCCUUGGAAUAGGACGUCAUAGAGGGUGAGAAUCCCGUUUAUGGUGAAGAACCCACACUAUGUAAAGUGCUUUCGAAGAGUCGAGUUGUUUGGGAAUGCAGCUCAAAGUGGGUGGUAAAUUCCAUCUAAAGCUAAAUAUUGGCGAGAGACCGAUAGCGAACAAGUACUGUGAAGGAAAGAUGAAAAGAACUUUGAAAAGAGAGUGAAAAAGUACGUGAAAUUGUUGAAAGGGAAGGGAUCUAAAUCAGACAUGGUAUUUUGUGAUCAACAGUCUUUCGGGACUGUGCACUCGCAUUUUACUAGGCCAGCAUCGGUUAGAAGGGGGUAAAAAAGAUUUUGGAAUGUGGCUCCUCGGAGUGUUAUAGCCAAGGUUAAUUGCCCCAUUUCUGACCGAGGACCGCGUCUUUUGACUAGGAUGCUGGCGUAAUGGUUUUGAUCCACCCGUCUUGAAACACGGACC